This 702-nucleotide ribosomal RNA is filed under the name Enterobacter bugandensis. RNAcentral's name for it is "partial 23S ribosomal RNA". It matches the Rfam family "Bacterial large subunit ribosomal RNA", at positions 144 to 888 of the family's 2925-position model. Lineage: Bacteria; Pseudomonadati; Pseudomonadota; Gammaproteobacteria; Enterobacterales; Enterobacteriaceae. The record is from RNAcentral.
CACACUAUCGUUAACUGAAUACAUAGGUUAACGAGGCGAACCGGGGGAACUGAAACAUCUAAGUACCCCGAGGAAAAGAAAUCAACCGAGAUUCCCCCAGUAGCGGCGAGCGAACGGGGAGCAGCCCGGAGUCUGAAUCAGCUUGUGUGUUAGUGGAAGCGUCUGGAAAGUCGCACGGUACAGGGUGACAGUCCCGUACACGAAAAUGCACAGGUUGUGAACUCGAAGAGUAGGGCGGGACACGUGGUAUCCUGUCUGAAUAUGGGGGGACCAUCCUCCAAGGCUAAAUACUCCUGACUGACCGAUAGUGAACCAGUACCGUGAGGGAAAGGCGAAAAGAACCCCGGCGAGGGGAGUGAAAAAGAACCUGAAACCGUGUACGUACAAGCAGUGGGAGCACCUUCGUGGUGUGACUGCGUACCUUUUGUAUAAUGGGUCAGCGACUUAUAUUCUGUAGCAAGGUUAACCGUAUAGGGGAGCCGCAGGGAAACCGAGUCUUAACUGGGCGUUAAGUUGCAGGGUAUAGACCCGAAACCCGGUGAUCUAGCCAUGGGCAGGUUGAAGGUUGGGUAACACUAACUGGAGGACCGAACCGACUAAUGUUGAAAAAUUAGCGGAUGACCUGUGGCUGGGGGUGAAAGGCCAAUCAAACCGGGAGAUAGCUGGUUCUCCCCGAAAGCUAUUUAGGUAGCGCCUCGUGAA